CACUCCUACGGGAGGCAGCAGUGGGGAAUAUUGCACAAUGGGCGCAAGCCUGAUGCAGCCAUGCCGCGUGUAUGAAGAAGGCCUUCGGGUUGUAAAGUACUUUCAGCGGGGAGGAAGGCGAUAAGGUUAAUAACCUUGUCGAUUGACGUUACCCGCAGAAGAAGCACCGGCUAACUCCGUGCCAGCAGCCGCGGUAAUACGGAGGGUGCAAGCGUUAAUCGGAAUUACUGGGCGUAAAGCGCACGCAGGCGGUCUGUCAAGUCGGAUGUGAAAUCCCCGGGCUCAACCUGGGAACUGCAUUCGAAACUGGCAGGCUAGAGUCUUGUAGAGGGGGGUAGAAUUCCAGGUGUAGCGGUGAAAUGCGUAGAGAUCUGGAGGAAUACCGGUGGCGAAGGCGGCCCCCUGGACAAAGACUGACGCUCAGGUGCGAAAGCGUGGGGAGCAAACAGGAUUAGAAACCCGAGUAGUCCCAUGA
RNAcentral lists this ribosomal RNA (475 nucleotides) under uncultured organism. RNAcentral's name for it is "partial 16S ribosomal RNA". It matches the Rfam family "Bacterial small subunit ribosomal RNA", at positions 334 to 800 of the family's 1533-position model. The record is from RNAcentral.